Molecule: ribosomal RNA, 423 nt
Filed under: uncultured bacterium
Lineage: Bacteria
Description: bacterial SSU rRNA
Rfam family: Bacterial small subunit ribosomal RNA
Source: RNAcentral
UAAAGAGAAGCUUGCGGCUGAUUAGCUUGUUGGUAAGGUAAUAAGGCGACGAUCAGUAUCUGGUUUGAGAGGACGAUCAGACACUGAGACACGGUCCAGACUCCUACGGGAGGCAGCAGUGGGGAAAAUGGGCGAAAGCCUGACGGAGCAAUACCGCGUGAGGGAUGACUGCCUAUGGGCCUCUUUUUUCAGGGAGGAACAAAAUGACGUGUACCUGAAGAACGGCUAACUCCGUGCCAGCAGCCGCGGUAAGUGCAAGUGUUAUCCGGAAUCACUGGGCGUAAAGCGUCUGUAGAAUAAGUCAACUGUUAAAUCUUGAGGCUUAACCUUGAAAUCGCACUAUUAGACUAGAGUAUAGUAGGGGUAAAGGGAAUUUCCAGUUGAAAUGCGUAGAGAUUGGAAAGAACACCGAUGGCGAAAGGC